CGUACGUAAUAUUUGAAAUGGGGUGUAGAUCUUUGCCUCGAGAAGGGGAGGAGUAAAAAAUCCGAUUUUCAGCUUUACGUAUUUUAUGGACGGCCCCUUAUUGGUUAUUUUAUUUUUCCAGUUGAUUCGUAUAUGAUAGAGAGAAACGGGAAAUUCGAAUGCGCUCUCUGCGGCGCCUCAUUCAAGCACGGGUAUAGUCUCCGGAAACACAUGAAGGCCCACACCGGCGAAACUUUUUGUCACCUUUGCAGUAAGAACUACUCCAACAAACAGAACUUCCAAAUGCACCAACUCCUCGUCCACGGCAUCAAAAGAAAACUCUGAACUAUCAUUAAGAUGUUCGGAGACUCAAGGACCAUCUUUUUAAGGUGAAUACAAGGUCGGUGCUCGCGAGAAAUUCCAGUGCAGUAUUUGUGGAUCUUCUUACACCAAAAACUACGACCUUCGGAAACACAUGAAAUCUCACACAGGCGAGACGUUCUGUCACAUUUGCCAGAGGAGCUACUCAAACGUACAGAACUACCGUAUGCACAUGCUAUUUGUCCAUAAGAUCGGAACAGGGCGACAAACGUAACGCUGAUCAAUAAAGCUAUUCCUUGGAAGUUCUCUCAAGUAUUCCAUAUUUUCAAAACGAAGCGUUACGUGUCUUUGAAUAAGCCGCCAAAUGUAAUUUCUGUUCUUUUUACACCAUAAUCCCCUGGAAAUUAUCCAAUCCUUGAAGUACAUGACUAAUUACAGACAACACACAACUUUAAUUUUUCUUUUCUUCUCUUUUUGAAAGCAUUUUCCCUCUCUUUGUUCUUUUUAUUUUUAAAGUAUUGUUUGUUUAAAUUAUAUUGUUUUUUCUUCAUAAAGUCAGUAUAUGUUUUGGCUUCAGUACAUGAAUUUUUGAAGCACAUGACUAAUUAUUACCAAUGAUCUACAUAUACAAGUUUAUUGUUUAUUUUCACUUUAUGUUUCAGAAGCUCAUUGUUGUUUGUUUAAAUUCGAUUGUUUUUUCCUUUUAUAUUCAGUAUAUUUUUUGGCUUCAGUUCAGUCAUUUAUCUUCAAGCGACACACCGUAGUACAAUUAAACGGUUUAAUAAUGAUUGAAUAUCAUCUUUGUGUAAUAUUUCAUGCAUCGUAAUUUUAUAUUGCAUAAGAAAACCUCUUCCACAACUUCCAGAGGCCAAUUUGAUUCAAUACAAUGUAAUUCUAUAAAAAA
Bemisia tabaci is the source of this 1204-nucleotide non-coding RNA. Lineage: Eukaryota; Metazoa; Arthropoda; Insecta; Hemiptera; Aleyrodidae. The record is from RefSeq and is a predicted model, not a curated record.